Molecule: microRNA, 20 nt
Filed under: Vitis vinifera (wine grape)
Lineage: Eukaryota; Viridiplantae; Streptophyta; Magnoliopsida; Vitales; Vitaceae
Description: vvi-miR3633a-5p
Source: miRBase by way of RNAcentral
GGAAUGGAUGGUUAGGAGAG